This 224-nucleotide ribosomal RNA is filed under the name uncultured bacterium. RNAcentral's name for it is "partial 16S ribosomal RNA". It matches the Rfam family "Bacterial small subunit ribosomal RNA", at positions 28 to 222 of the family's 1533-position model. The record is from RNAcentral.
GACGAACGCUGGCGGCAUGCCUAAUACAUGCAAGUCGAACGAGCUUCCGUUGAAUGACGUGCUUGCACUGAUUUUAACAAUGAAGCGAGUGGCGAACUGGUGAGUAACACGUGGGGGAAUCUGCCCAGAAGCAGGGGAUAACACUUGGAAACAGGUGCUAAUACCGGUAUAACACAAAUCCACAUGGAUUUUGUUUGAAACGGUUGGCUUCGGCUAUCACUUCG